This 85-nucleotide transfer RNA is filed under the name Colletotrichum orbiculare MAFF 240422. Its description in RNAcentral is "tRNA-Gly for anticodon UCC". It matches the Rfam family "tRNA". From Rfam's summary of the family: Transfer RNA (tRNA) molecules are approximately 80 nucleotides in length. Their secondary structure includes four short double-helical elements and three loops (D, anti-codon, and T loops). Lineage: Eukaryota; Fungi; Ascomycota; Sordariomycetes; Glomerellales; Glomerellaceae. The record is from RNAcentral.
GCAUCUGUAGUGUAGUGGUUAUCAUCCCAGCCUUCCAUUCCGUGUGGCUCAGCUGGGGACCCGGUUUCGAUUACCGGCGGAUGCA